RNAcentral lists this ribosomal RNA (253 nucleotides) under uncultured bacterium. RNAcentral describes it as "partial 16S ribosomal RNA". It matches the Rfam family "Bacterial small subunit ribosomal RNA", at positions 524 to 776 of the family's 1533-position model. The record is from RNAcentral.
UACGGAGGGGGCUAGCGUUGUUCGGAAUUACCGGGCGUAAAGCGCACGUAGGCGGCUUUGUAAGUUAGAGGUGAAAGCCUGGUGCUCAACACCAGAACUGCCUUUAAGACUGCAUCGCUUGAAUCAUGGAGAGGCGGGUGGAAUUCCGAGUGUAGAGGUGAAAUUCGUAGAUAUUCGGAAGAACACCAGUGGCGAAGGCGGCCCGCUGGACAUGUAUUGACGCUGAGGUGCGAAAGCGUGGGGAGCAAACAGG